This is a long non-coding RNA of Zalophus californianus (California sea lion), 1080 nucleotides long. RefSeq lists it as uncharacterized. The transcript has 5 exons. NCBI's taxonomy places the organism in Eukaryota, Metazoa, Chordata, Mammalia, Carnivora, Otariidae. The record is from RefSeq and is a predicted model, not a curated record.
AUGAUGGCAAGAGGGAGGCGAGGCAGAGAAGGAGAGGAAGCAAAUGCAAGGUGGUACCGCUGACUGAGCGGGCCACAGCUUGAUGGAAACACAGCUUGUCCGAUGGGACACCUCUGGAGAGAUUCUGUGGACUUACUGCAUCUCAGAACUGUCCGUCAUGAGGGAGGAAGGGAAUCCUCCUUCUUACUCCCUAACCCCAGAAAAGCAUCCCCACACAAAUAACCCCAUAAGAGGAGCCCUGAGCCGCUAAUUCAAACACUUCAUCACCAUAUCCAGCUGGAGGCAUUGUGUUCACGUCCUUCUAAAUCUCAAGUGUCCCUUCCAAGGUCAAGCAAGGUCUCUACUUCCUCCACGAGUUUGGAGUAAACUGUUGAUCUGUGCUCCUGAUGGCCGGUUAAGCCCUCAGGGAAAGAUGGACCUUGAGGUGUUUGGGGCCAGUAGAGCGGACUGAAGAGGUCUGGACAAGAGAGUCCCUUGUAAGAGACAAGAAGGAAGUAAAAUCCAGUUUUACUGAAGGUGAACCAUCUCCAGCUGAGUGAUUCUGCACUUCUCACCCUGAUUAUCCAAACCUGCAAUGCAUGAAGAUAAAUUUCAAUCCUCUUUCUCUUUCCCCGCCUGAAAAAUUCAGCUCCCUCUGCCAGCUCUGCAUCAGGAUGCCCACAAACAUCAGUCAAUCCUCUCCCUCGGUUGGUUCAUCUAGAAAUUUCUCUGUUGCUGCUGCAAGGCCACUCAGAGCAGACUCUGUUUCCUUCCCUCAGCAUCUUUCACAUUUCCUCAGCCAUAGUGGAAUAUUUUUCAAGUCCUGUUGGCUGUUUUGUUUGUUUGUUUUCCCCUGCCUCGAGCCCAUCUCCUUGUUCCUGAUUGGUGGCAGGAAAGCCAGUCUUUCUGACAGCUGGAUAGACCUAAAUAGAUCACAGCCCAUAAUGGGGCCCUACGAUAAAUAGCCGUAUUGCUGAGUGAUGGCCCCUCAGAGUGAGUUAUAAAGCCCGCUAAUGUAUUAGCAUGGCACAUUUGUACACUGUAACUUCUGUCCAGUGUGUUGUGUUCCACGGGGAGCAUCCUGAGCCCAAAUCUGGCAUU